AACAAUAGCUCAUCUCUCUUUACCCUGAUAGCAACAGACUCCGGGGCGGAUCCGCCUUCAAGUCGCCAGCUCCGCUGUACGCUCAGAUUCAAUUCGGCAACGCGCACAGGAUAUGCCCCGCCUCCGCGCAGCGCACUGUCAACUCGCGGACUCGUUACAGAUGCUGGGCGGAUUCACUAACCGGACGCGCCUUUUUUCAACUGACGAUCGUCACUGAAUCCUUCUCCACACUGUGGAAAAGAUGGAGCCGACAGGUCGGUGAAGACUGAACUCGCUUACAGCUCAUUCAAGUGCCACCAGUGUGUUUUUUCGAGUAGUAUUUCUUGAAUUUCUUCUAUUUCAUCUUUCUUCUGAGCUUACAGCUCAUUCAAGUGCCACCAGUGUGUUUUUUCGAGUAGUAUUUCUUGAAU
Molecule: long non-coding RNA, 410 nt
Organism: Megalobrama amblycephala (Wuchang bream)
Lineage: Eukaryota; Metazoa; Chordata; Actinopteri; Cypriniformes; Xenocyprididae
Exons: 3
Source: RefSeq, a predicted model, not a curated record